UUUAAAAAAAAGAAAAAUCAAGAAGGGGUCCUGCGUUUCAGGCUCUAGUAACAAGAAGAAAGCAAAGAAUGGAGAGGAAAUACUAGGACUAGAUGUGGGUGUGGGAUGAGGUUAGGUCUAUGCCAUUUUCACUGAACUAGAUGCCAGAUUCUGGGCCAGUUUCCUAAUCUCUGUUUACUCAUACUUAAAAUGAGGCUAACCCUACCCAUUUCUAAUUAAUAUGCGAAAUAACAAUAGUUAAUCCCUCUAAGCACUUAUCACGUACAAGGCACUUGUGUAAAUACCUUGCAUGCAGUAACUUGCUGUCUUUGAGCAACUGACUUAUGAGGUAGAUACUUUCAUCAUCCCCAUUUUACGGAUGAGGAUGUAGAAGCUCAGAGAGGGAAAUGGCAGAUCCAUAUUUCACACCUCUUCCAUCGGACUACAGAGACAGUGUUUCCACCAACGGUUUACAAUGCCUCUCAUUAAAUACUACUUAUUUUACAUCAUUGCGAUCAGAGGGGUUAUAAUUUCUGGUUUCACUGGCAGGAUAUAAUUACCGAUUCAACCUAUUCAUUUGUUUAAGAAGUGUUUGCAGAGUCUACGUAUGUACAUACAUUUUACUCAGCAUGAGGAUCGAUCCAAGCAUAGAUUUCAGCUUCAAAAAUGUUCCUGCGGUUACUAUGUACAGAAGUUCUGUGUGGGAGAUUUGAGAGAGAAAAACAAAAUGGCACCUCUGUUACUUAAGAGGAAUAUUAAUGGGGUGGAGAAGAUAAUGGGCAUCAUCACAGUGAGCUUCCUACAAUGUGCCUCUGAGUACAAGGAUUUACCAUUUUCCCUGCUUAAUCUUUUUUUUCCUGACUUCAUUGGGUAAAACAUAAAAUGUCGCUGAAUUAUUAUAAGAGCAGUGCAGGAUAAGGAUGCAAUACAGAGGUUUGGAAAACCGAAGGAAGUCCCCUCACCAAGAGGAAGACAACAGAAGAUGAUUAUGCCUCUCCCCGCAGCUGGCCAUUCCUUCCACCCCAAGGGAGGAUUCUGGGGUUCUGUGUACUAGGCUUGCGAAAAACAGAUUCUCUCUUUGCUGUGGUUUCCCAUUAAGUGUGUGAGACAUGGAGGAAUCAUAAUCUGUACUUGGGGCCAGGUUAGCAAAUCUAGAAGAUGACCAUUGGACCCUGCGGAGAAUGGAACAGAUAGAAAUAAGAGAGAGAUUUUCUCUUAUUCUCCAAAACUUGGUACACAGAGUAAAGACUACAGACUGAAUGCCAGAACAAGCAUAUCUGAGUUUUGCACACGGGGGGGGGGGGUGGUGGUGGUGGUGGUGGGAGGAAGACUAAGAAAUCAGCGGCAUUUGGGGAAAUAAAUGGACUUCAUGGACUUGACCCACUGGGAGAUCAUCGUGUUAUGUGAAUUACAGAAUACUUGGGUGUUACAUUUCAUAAUUCAAUUUUUAACAGACGAUCUACCCUGUAUGACAGAA
Molecule: long non-coding RNA, 1456 nt
Organism: Lutra lutra (Eurasian river otter)
Lineage: Eukaryota; Metazoa; Chordata; Mammalia; Carnivora; Mustelidae
Exons: 3
Source: RefSeq, a predicted model, not a curated record